Molecule: small nucleolar RNA, 137 nt
Filed under: Notamacropus eugenii (tammar wallaby)
Lineage: Eukaryota; Metazoa; Chordata; Mammalia; Diprotodontia; Macropodidae
Description: Small nucleolar RNA SNORA13 (ENSMEUG00000017323.1)
Rfam family: Small nucleolar RNA SNORA13
About the family: ACA13 is a member of the H/ACA class of snoRNA that guide the sites of modification of uridines to pseudouridines.
Source: RNAcentral
UGCCUUUUGUGUUGCCGGUUCACUUUGGUCGCUAGUGGAUGUGGUGUCAAAAAAGGCAGAAAUAAAAUACUUAGCAGCAUUUCCUCUUGCCUUGGAAUUUUUGUUCCAUUGACAGGUGUGCUGUAUAAGUGACAAGU